ACAGGAAGUGACGUUCUGUUCUAUCAGCCAAUGAGGGGUUUCACUCCCAUGAUGCACUGCUCACACAAACGGCCCGCGCCAACUGUACAUGGUGUCAACGCUGAAGAUGUGAUUUAGAACUUUUACAUUAACAAGUCGGCGAUGACUGCGUGCAAUAAUUCUACUGUUCUUAAAGAUGUUGUUGCCUAUGUGGAUGUGUGGUCAUCUGACAAAAGGGCAAACUAUUCUAGAUCAUUUUUUCCUCAGCUACAAGAAAUGGGAGCUCAGGUGGCACAGAGAUUCAGUAAACAGGUCACUCAUGUAGUGUUCAACUGUGGACAUCCAGCUACAUGGAGAAAAGCUAAGAAAAGUGAUGUGCAUCUAGUUUCCGCUUUGUGGAUAAACAGGUGUUUUGAUGAAGGAACACGUGUGGAUGAGGGGUUAUUUCCAGCUUCAAAUGAUGAGAGCAACCCUGUGAUAAAGAACAGAAGACAUCGUUGCAUGUUACCAAAGAAUUCCCCUGAGAGGAAAACUGAAAAUGACUGGCGGAAAAAGAAAAAACUAAACAAGAUGUUGAAAGAUUUACCUUCAAAAGAACCCCAAGUUGCAGAUUUAUCACCCAUUAUUAUUGAUCAAGAGAAUGGAAUAAUUUACAGUCCCUCCAUGAAAAGGGCAGAUUACAUGGCACAGCGCUUGAAGGACAUGAAGGACAAACUGGAAGACCUGUCGUUAACAGCUUCACAAACUGGUGAAUCCUGCUCACCUACAGGGAUUAAACCUGCUCUUGGAAUGUCACCAUCUGUCCUCAAGUUUAAGUUAGACGACGAUCCACAUGAUGAUUCCUGUGUUUCUGUCUCUUCACCUGGAUGUUUGUCUGAUGAAGAGGGAAUAUCACACUCUGAAACUAAAGACUUUGGUCAUUCUAUCAGCCCUCUGUCAUCACCCUGUCAAGAUGUUCCUAAACGGAUUUCACGUUUACGUAACUUUCCCCGCUUUGACCUCGACAUGGAUGAAGAAGGGAAUAAAAGUGUUGAUCCUGAAAUAGAUAAAGAUGCAAAUGAAAACAAGACAAAGACGACAGAGAAGGCGCAGUCUAAACUUGUUUCAGAAAGCCCUCCCCAGGACAGAUCUGAUGAUUCCAAGGGUUCCGAUGGAGUUCAAAAGCUGCCACCUAUAAAAUCAACUCGCCUUCCCCCUAACAAAUUUGAAGUUGGAAAUAAAAAACAAUUAGUUAAAUCCUGCACUAAAGCAUCAUCUAAUAUUUAUUCAGGUGCUGUGAAGUCUUCAAGACGCCAUUCAGCAUCAGUGCUUUCACUUGACUCUAAACCCAAAAUGUCAAAGGAAACAUCAGUGGUCAAAAAGACUGAUAAAAAAACACCCAAACAAUCCAGAUCAUUAGUAUGUUCCCUCAUAAAACCUUUUACUCUGUCGAGUGAAUGUGAAAGCGUUACAUCUGGCCCAACUGAUGGAGACAGUGACGUGUUUGAGGAUUAUUUUUCUCCUGCCAACCACAGAAAGUCCGUAUUUCCCGAUCUGCCCCAAGACUUAAAUAUUCAGAUACCUUUUGAGCUGAGCCCUCUUCCAAUCAAGAGAAAGCAAAGAAGUGAGAACCACAGUUCUGACACCAAGGGUAAAAAAAAGCGGAAAUUAGAGGAAAAUUCUUGUGGCAAACAUCUUGAGCAGCAGAGUAAUGAAAGCUAUGAGUCCUGGCCUUUCAGAGCAUCUGACAGCCCUCAGAUGACAAAAAAGCAAAGCACCAGGAAAGACGAAGACGAUGCUACUGACAACCAGAAACCAGCAACCUCAACAGGACAGCCAUCACUGCAAGCUAAAGAUCUUACAGGCGAAGAACAACCGAAGAAGUCUGAUUUCCCAGUUCUUUAUUCAAAUCCAGAAAGUGGAGGGGAUGAAUGCACGGGUGCAGCUGGUUUCAAAGAGAUCCCCCCUGAAGCUGAAGAAAAUCUCAAUAAGCAAGACGGCUCGAGUCUUCAGACAAUGGUUAACAAAGCAAAGGUUAUGAGAACACUGGUCAUGACAAGUAUGCCAACUGAGAAGCAGAGUACGGUGGUUCAAGUGGUGAAAACACUGGGUGGUUUUUUAAUUGUCGACCAGGUGUGUGAAAGCACCACUCAUGUUGUGUCUGGGGGACACAGGCGGACCCUCAACAUCCUGCUGGGCAUUGCACGGGGCUGCUGGAUCCUCUCUUUUGAAUGGGUACUGAGAUUCUAUGGUGUUUGGAGCAAAGGCAGUGGAUUCCAGAGGAACCGUAUGAACUUUCAGAUCAGUUUCCUGCAGCACAAAUUUGUCGCCUCCAGAGGCAUCUUUCUGCUGGAGAGCACCAACAGGACCUGUUCCAAGACCAGCCAGCCAUGUUUGUAUCCCAGCACUCCCAGCCACCCCCCCAGAGUCUGGUGGAGCUGAUUCAGCUGUGUGGGGGGGCAGUUUGCAAAACUGUGCGACAGGCUGGCAUCUGCAUAGGGAAGUACAGCGGCCGGAGACCAGAAGGAAACAGGAUUUUGUCUGAGCAGUGGAUUCUUGACAGCAUCACUAAUCUGAAGGUAUUGCCAUUUGAGGAUUACGACUUGGAGUAAGAGCUGGUGAUCAAUUUUUCUGUGCUGCACAGUGAUAUAUUAUACAGUAUAUUUUCUACAGAAUGUUGAUUUUCAUCUGUAAAAUAAAUCAGAUUUUUUAUUGAUGUAUAUGAAAGUUUCGCAAAAGAAACUGUCUAAGAUUCUGUUGGUUGGGUGUUAACUGUAUUCAUGUCUCUAACAAAUGGUAGAAACCACUACUGUGAAUUUUCCAUUUUAUUUCUGAAAAUGUGAUUUGUUGUCUUGAGCCAGUGGGACGCCGCCUCCUUAUAGAGUGAUGUUUAUUAUUAAAUACUUUUUAUUGUACCACUGAUGUAAUUUUUCUCCAUUAAACUUUGUCAAAGAACCCAAGAUCAACUGUUGAGUUUUCACAUGUUCCAAGUCUCAAAAAAACUUUUUUUUUGUUUACUGUGAAAGAAAGUUAUAAAAAUGUUUCUCUUUAUGUCGAUGAUUUUUUAUUUUAUUUUGCUCAUUUAAAUGUUUUGUUUUUAAGAGUCUUUUGGACCACAUGGCUUGUUUUUCCAACACCAUUCAGUUCACUGUGAAAGUACAGAAUUUACCAUCCCUGUACGUGUAUUUAAUUUUUAAAUGUCUAAAAUCAGGUUUUGGACCUAAAGGCAUCAAAUUCAAAUGUCAGAAAAUGUAUUUACUUUUUAUUUUUCCUAUUUUCUUUUUUUUGGGGGGGGGUUGAUGCAAAAGGUAAAUGUACAUGGAAUCAGAGGUUUGUUGUCCGGUCGAUUCUGACUUAUAAACUGUUGUGUGAUGACAAUGUGAUGAAAUCAUAGAACCAUAUAUUAAAAAUAUAUAAACUAA
Molecule: RNA transcript, 3380 nt
Organism: Oryzias melastigma (Indian medaka)
Lineage: Eukaryota; Metazoa; Chordata; Actinopteri; Beloniformes; Adrianichthyidae
Gene: mcph1
Gene name: microcephalin 1
Exons: 15
Source: RefSeq, a predicted model, not a curated record